CAGAUGAACGCUGGCGGCGUGCCUAACACAUGCAAGUCGAACGAAGCACAGCAGACGAGAUUCGUCGAAGCUGCUUUGACUUAGUGCGGACGGGUGAGUAAUGUGUGAGCAACCUGCCUUUCAGAGGGGGACAACAGUUGGAAACGACUGCUAAUACCGCAUAACGUAUUUUUGGUGGCAUCACCGGGAUACCAAAGGAGCAAUCCGCUGAAAGAUGGGCUCACAUCUGAUUAGCUUGUUGGUGAGGUAACGGCUCACCAAGGCCUGCGAUCAGUAGCCCGGACUGAGAGGCUGAACGGCCACAUUGGGACUGAGAUACGGCCCAGACUCCUACGGGAGGCAGCAGUGGGGAAUAUUGGGCAAUGGGCGAAAGCCUACGACCCAGCAACGCCGCGUGAAGGAAGAAGGUCUUCGGAUUGUAAACUUCUUUUAUGAGGGACGAAGGACGUGACGGUACCUCAUGAAUAAGCCACGGCUAACUACGUGCCAGCCGCCGC
Molecule: ribosomal RNA, 497 nt
Filed under: uncultured bacterium
Lineage: Bacteria
Description: bacterial SSU rRNA
Rfam family: Bacterial small subunit ribosomal RNA
Source: RNAcentral